Long non-coding RNA from Chrysemys picta bellii (western painted turtle), 259 nucleotides. RefSeq lists it as uncharacterized. NCBI's taxonomy places the organism in Eukaryota, Metazoa, Chordata, Testudines, Emydidae. The record is from RefSeq and is a predicted model, not a curated record.
GUCGGCUGCGAUAUGUCAAAUUCAGCUACGCUAUUCACGUAGCUGAAUUUGCGUAUCUUAAAUCGACUCCCCCCUGUAGUGUAGAUGUAGCCCCAGCCAGGGCUUUGUCAAGGACUAGUCACAGGCAGAGCAAGAGGAUGCUUGGUUGGGCUACUCGCUCAGGUUCUGCCUGUUAUUGUGUGAAAUGGCGGCUGCUGUCUUGUUGCAUCAACCUUGAGACCUCAGCCGUCCCUCUUAUCGCCUGCUCAGAGACUGCAAA